CAGUAGCCGCGGGAAAACGUAGGUGGCAAGCGUUGUCCGGAAUUAUUGGGCGUAAAGGGCUCGCAGGCGGUUUCUUAAGUCUGAUGUGAAAGCCCCCGGCUCAACCGGGGAGGGUCAUUGGAAACUGGGAAACUUGAGUGCAGAAGAGGAGAGUGGAAUUCCACGUGUAGCGGUGAAAUGCGUAGAGAUGUGGAGGAACACCAGUGGCGAAGGCGACUCUCUGGUCUGUAACUGACGCUGAGGAGCGAAAGCGUGGGGAGCGAACAGGAUUAGAUACCCGCGUAGUCCCUGUCUCUUAUAA
RNAcentral lists this ribosomal RNA (301 nucleotides) under uncultured bacterium. Its description in RNAcentral is "partial 16S ribosomal RNA". It matches the Rfam family "Bacterial small subunit ribosomal RNA", at positions 509 to 809 of the family's 1533-position model. The record is from RNAcentral.